UCGACGAGUCGUCUUUUAGAUGACGAAGUGGUUGAUGCCAUGCUUCCAAGAAAAGCUUCUAAGCUUCAGGUAACCAGGAACCGUACCCCAAACCGACACAGGUGGUCGGGUAGAGAAUACCAAGGCGCUUGAGAGAACUCGGGUGAAGGAACUAGGCAAAAUGGCACCGUAACUUCGGGAGAAGGUGCGCCGGCUAGGGUGAAGGAUUUACUCCGUAAGCUCUGGCUGGUCGAAGAUACCAGGCCGCUGCGACUGUUUAUUAAAAACACAGCACUCUGCAAACACGAAAGUGGACGUAUAGGGUGUGACGCCUGCCCGGUGCCGGAAGGUUAAUUGAUGGGGUUAGCGCAAGCGAAGCUCUUGAUCGAAGCCCCGGUAAACGGCGGCCGUAACGAUAACGGUCCUAAGGUAGCGAAAUUCCUUGUCGGGUAAGUUCCGACCUGCACGAAUGGCGUAACGAUGGCGGCGCUGUCUCCACCCGAGACUCAGUGAAAUUGAAAUCGCUGUGAAGAUGCAGUGUAUCCGCGGCUAGACGGAAAGACCCCGUGAACCUUUACUGUAGCUUUGCACUGGACUUUGAGCCUGCUUGUGUAGGAUAGGUGGGAGGCUUUGAAGCGUGGACGCCAGUUCGCGUGGAGCCAUCCUUGAAAUACCACCCUGGCAUGCUUGAGGUUCUAACUCUGGUCCGUAAUCCGGAUCGAGGACAGUGUAUGGUGGGCAGUUUGACUGGGGCGGUCUCCUCCUAAAGAGUAACGGAGGAGUACGAAGGUGCGCUCAGACCGGUCGGAAAUCGGUCGCAGAGUAUAAAGGCAAAAGCGCGCUUGACUGCGAGACAGACACGUCGAGCAGGUACGAAAGUAGGUCUUAGUGAUCCGGUGGUUCUGUAUGGAAGGGCCAUCGCUCAACGGAUAAAAGGUACUCCGGGGAUAACAGGCUGAUACCGCCCAAGAGUUCAUAUCGACGGCGGUGUUUGGCACCUCGAUGUCGGCUCAUCACAUCCUGGGGCUGAAGCCGGUCCCAAGGGUAUGGCUGUUCGCCAUUUAAAGUGGUACGCGAGCUGGGUUUAGAACGUCGUGAGACAGUUCGGUCCCUAUCUGCCGUGGACGUUUGAGAUUUGAGAGGGGCUGCUCCUAGUACGAGAGGACCGGAGUGGACGGACCUCUGGUGUUCCGGUUGUCACGCCAGUGGCAUUGCCGGGUAGCUAUGUUCGGAAAAGAUAACCGCUGAAAGCAUCUAAGCGGGAAACUUGCCUCAAGAUGAGAUCUCACUGGGAACUUGAUUCCCCUGAAGGGCCGUCGAAGACUACGACGUUGAUAGGCUGGGUGUGUAAGCGUUGUGAGGCGUUGAGCUAACCAGUACUAAUUGCCCGUGAGGCUUGACC
RNAcentral lists this ribosomal RNA (1381 nucleotides) under metagenome. RNAcentral's name for it is "bacterial LSU rRNA". It matches the Rfam family "Bacterial large subunit ribosomal RNA", at positions 1563 to 2925 of the family's 2925-position model. The record is from RNAcentral.